This 11764-nucleotide long non-coding RNA is filed under the name Gallus gallus (chicken). RNAcentral's name for it is "lncRNA (ENSGALG00010001053.1)". Lineage: Eukaryota; Metazoa; Chordata; Aves; Galliformes; Phasianidae. The record is from RNAcentral.
CUUUUGUAGAAGCCUGAACCCCCUCAUACGUGGGGGUACAUACAUAUCUCCUUUUCAGUUGGAGUGUAUGUCAUGGUUUUGUAACUUUGCUAUUGGUAUUCCACAUCAUAACAUCAUGGCCAAAAGAGAAGAACUACGUAUCCCAGAGGACCUCACGGUCAGAGAAGGAAGAUACAUCACGGAAGAUACGUCAUCUGGUUGUGCGUGGUCUUUUUCACUUUUCGCUUGCUGCCAGGGAGAGGAGUGGGUGUGUGCUUUCCAAGCCAUGCGCCUUCAUCAAGUUAGAGGCUGAUCUUCUAGAGAGGAGCUCUGUGGAGAAGGACUUGAAUAUCCUAGUGGACAGCAGGUUGACCAUGAGCCAGAAGUGUGCCCCUGUGGCCAAGAAGGUCAAAGAUAUCCUGGGGUACAAUAAAAGAAGUGUGUCCAGAAGGUUGAGGGAAAUGAUCCUCCCACUCUACCCUGCCGCGCAGAGUGCACGUCUGGACUACUGCAUCCAUUUCUGGGCUCCUCAGUUCAAGAAAGACAGUGAACUUCUAGACAGAGUCCAGCACAGAACCACAACAAUAUUUAGUGGCCUGGAACAUCUCUCUUGUGAGGAAAGUUGUUGCAAUUGGACUGAAGCGAUUGCUGAUAGGAGAACAGACUGACAGAAGAACUCACUGAGAGCAGCUCUGUGGAGAAGGACUCGGGGGUCCUGAUGAAUGAAAAGCUGGACACAAGCUAUCAGUGUGCACUUGCAGCCCAGAAGGACAACUAUAUCCUGGGCUGUAUCAAAAGAGGAGUGAGCCAGCAGAGUGAGGGAGAGGAUUGUCCCCCUCUACUCUGCCUUUGUGAUGUCCCACCUGGAGUACUGUGUGCAUGCCUGGGGCCCCUACUACAAGAACAAUGGGGGGCUGUUGGCGUGGGUCCAGAGAAUGGCCAUUGAGAUGAUCAGAGGCCUGGAGCACCCGUCCUGUGAAGAAAGGUUGAGGGAGUGGGGCUUGUUUAGCUUGGGGAAGAGAGGACUAUGGGGAGAUCUCAUUACGGUCUUCCAGUACCUGAAGGGAGCUAACAAGCAGUCUUCUUUCACAGUCUGAUAGUGACAAGACAAGGGGGAAUGCCUAGAAACUAAAUGAGAGUAGAUUUAGGUUAGCUUCUAGGAAGAAAUUUUUUACUCAGAGGAUUGUGAAGUGUUGGAAACAUAUGUUGCCCAGAAGGGUUAUGGAUGCCCCAUCCCUGGAGGUAUUGAAGGCCAGAUUGGCUACCGCCCUGGGUAACCUUAACUGGUGGCUGGCAGGGUUGUCAACCUAAGCCAUUCCAUGAUUCUAUGAUCCUAUGAAAGGCCAAGAGACCUUGGACUAUUAAGCCUGAAUAAGAGAAGACUGAGGGAGGAUCUUAUCAAUGCUUUAAAUAUCUACAGGGCAGGAGUCAAGUGGAUGGGGCCAGGCUCCUUUUGGCAAUGCCCAGUGACAGGACAAUGGGCAAUGGGCACAGACUAAAACACAGGAAGUUCCAUCUGAACAUGAGAAAAAACAACUUUUUUUGGAGGGUGACAGAGCACUGGAAAAGCUGCCCAGAGAAGUUUUGGAGCCUCCUUUUAUAGAGAUACUCAGAAGUCUCCCAAAUGCUUUCCUGUGUAAUUACCUCUAGGCAACAUGCUUUAGCGGAGGUGUUGGUCUAGAUUAUCUCCAAAGAUCCCUUCUAACCCCUAUGGUUCUGUGAUUUUGAGAUUUUUAGGCAUUGGCAAAGUACUAAUAGUGAAGGACAAAUUUUCAUAGUGAGAAUUCUGGAAAGCUGGAGCAAAUUAUUGAGAAUGUAUUUUCUUUGUAUAAAAUAUUUAGAUGUCCCUUAUCUUUCAAAUCAUUGUUGCUUGACAGUCACUGUACAGUGAUUUAAAUAAAUAUGACAAACUGCGCUAUUACCCACACAGUAGGGAUAACACAGUUGGAGGUAUAAUUCCUCCAUCAUAUAUUCUAGCUCAAAGGUUGGUGUGCAGAAUUAACUCCAGUUACAUAUACAAAUCUGGAGCAUGACCUUGUGUGACUGAGGUGCAGGCUAUAUCAUUCUUUGAUUAUCCCUGCAUCAGAAAUAGUAACUUCAGGAAAUUCUGUAAGGUUGAGAGACAGCAAUGAUGACUUGUUUAACACUCAUAACAUUCAGCAGGGCUGGUCUGGAAGACCAUCAAAAUACAUAAAUAAGUGAUAACCUUCAAAAGAGAUGUUACGCAUUUCUGAACAUAAGGUAACAGGAUGUGUAACUAUAAAAUUCUUCUUGUUUAGGAUUGUGAGAGAUGAUACAGUUUUAGGUGCUGGAAUGAAAAGGCUUUGACAUAAGCAGAGAAUGAUUUUGAGGGAGAUAAGGUGUCUUUCACCUGUUUUUAUUAAACUGUGAAAUUAUUUACUAUUGUAUAUAGGAAAGACUGGUAGUGGGGGUGUGGUUUGUAUGGGUGGCAGAGGGAAAACCAAUUUCAGAGGGGAGGAAGCAGGAGGAGGCAGUCCAUGGCAGAGGAUACAGUCACUGUAGUCCAGGGAGAGCCCGCACUGGCACAGAUUUUUCCUGACAAGAGCUGAAAUCCUAACAAAAACUCAGAAGGGAAUAGAUUCCACAGCCCCCCCCCCCCCCCCCCCCCCUCCCCCCGCCAAGGAACUACAGCUUAUGGAUAACUGACUAACCCACAAUGGAACAGGGAAAAUGUGUUAGGAAAUUGGAAAUAAGUCUUGUUUAAUGCUUUUUUUUUUUUUUUUUUUUUUUUCCUGCUACCAGGGAAAGGUCACAAAGUUGAUCAGAGGGCUGGAACAUUUCCCCUGUAAGGACAGGCUGAGAAAGCUGAGGUUGUUCAGUCUGGAGAAGAGAGGAGGGCCUACAGAAAUUCUGGGGUGAGAUAUUUUAUAAGGGCGUGUAGCAACAGGAUGUAGGAAAAUGGCUAUAAAAUGGAAGAGAGUAGAUUUAGACUAGUCAUAAGGAAGAAUAUAAGAAAUUAUAAGGAAGAAGUUUUUCUCUGUGAGAGUAAUGAGACACUGGAACAGGUUGCUCAGAGACAUUGUGGGUGUCCCCUCCCAGGAGGUGUUCAAGGCCACGCUAGAUGGGGCUUUGAGCAACCUGGUCUAGCAGGAGGUGUCCUUGUCCAUGGCAAGGGUUAGAACAACACAUUCUCUAAGGUCCCUUCCAACACAUACCAUUCUGUGAUUCUAUGAAAAUUAGUAAUGACAUUUUUAUUUUACUUGGCAACAAAUUCACCACAUCAAGAUGUUUUGCCUGCAGUGGUAGUUAGAAAGCAAUCUACCUGUCUUAAUCUUGAUCCUUCUUGUUCUUUCUGCUUUCUAAUCCCAUCCUACUGCAGGAGGAAUUAAGUAAGCAGCUAAGUAAGCAUUUGGCUUUUAGCCAAGUCUAACCCAUCUUGUUGCUCUUAAGAAUUUCUGCCUUGUUCUUGCCUCCUAAAUAUUUAGUCAUCAGGUCCAGUUUCCACCUUGGACAUGUCAAUAUUCCUGCAAAGUACAACUAAUUUUGUAAGUAAGUGUAAAUAAGUUCAAAGUGAUCUUGAAAAUUUAAACUCAAAGGUACUUUUCUCUUUUUCUUUUUUAUUUUAAUAGCAGAUAGGCUAGGCUAUGCUCUAUGCUUGCCUAGAAGAUUUUAUCAGGAUUUAGAAACAUUAGAGACACUUCAACCCACUUUCUCCUCUUCCUUUUGUGACACACUUUAGUUUUUGUCACAUAUAAAAUGGAAUAAAAAUCAUCAAUAGUACUAAAAUGAAUGUCUGUCUAAGAAUUACCAUUUCUGAUGCAGUUGAUGUAGCACAUGUAAAAAGUAUAUUUUGCUUUGGUCUGAUGGAAAUGUGCAUCUGAUUUAGAAUAAUUUGUCUUGCUACUUGAGCAAACAAAAUGUAAUUAAGUUGCCUAUAACAGCUAAGAAUAAUAGCUUCUCAUUAAUAUUGUUACCUGGGUGUUAAAAAACCUAAAGCAAGGCAAAUGUAAUGAAUUUAGCAAGUUAACAGAAUUGCCUUUUUUUUUUUUUAAGCAAUCUUUUCAUGCCACUGUAUUUGAGAUGGUGUCAGCAUUGCUAUUAUAAAUAAUUUAAGCAUUUAUAACUCAGUAAGAGAAGAGCACUAGUUCAGUCACAUUCUAAAUGAGUUAUUUGCUCAAUAUGUCUUCAAGGCUUAAGGGAACAUAAGAUAAAACUUACAUUUUCCUCUAGGGGCAUUAGUAAUUAAGCUAGAUAUUCAACUUUAACCAGACAAUUAAAAAAGGUUCCUCAGUGCUACUUUGAAUGCAAAGUUUGUCUAAACAUGAUGUACUUACAUGCAGGAUAGGAUGAUUUUGGGAGGUAUUCCAAGAACAGAAACAGCAGUGACUAUCACUGCUUGUCAAAUAAUGAAUAAUAAGAGUUGUCCUGCAGAGGACAAGUGAGAGGUCAGAGGAAGAAGAUAGCUUUUUUUCUUUUGUUAACGGAUGGUGCAAAAAUUCUAUGUUACCAUUCGGAUGGAGAAAAUAUAAGAUAUUGUUCUAGGCCCCUUUCCAAAAAAGCACUUAUACUUUCAUUUGUGUGGUAGUGAACAGUCUUGCUGAUUUCAGCCACUUUUCACAUGGCUAAAUUGAAGCACACACUUACAGAACUGUUGGAUUGUUGCUGAGACAGAUGCAUACUUAGGAAGCAAAAGAGCAGUAAGGUUGAAAUUAGUAAUUCAGUCACAACACUAGCAUCAUUCUCAUGAUGCAUAAAAGCAUUAUUUUUCAACAUUCACUUCUCUUUCUGAAGGACUGGAAACAAAUAGCAGGUAAUAAUCAGAACAGUUUAAAUCUGCAGUUUAGUAAUUCAAAUCUUAUAUGAUAAUUUUUUGCAUUCUCACUCUUGUGCCAAAUUAAAAGUUUUGAAAUAGAAUUAAUGGAGUUAGAAUUCACAUGAGAAUUUGUUAAUUGCUGUGAUAAAAAUAAUGAGACUGACAGGCUUGAGAACUGGGCCCUAAUGAGGUUCAACAAGGGCAAGUGUAAGGACUUGGGGGGUCCUGGUGGAUGAGAAGCUGGACAUGAUCCAAUAGUAUGCAUAUGCAGCCCAGAGGGCCAACUGUAUUCGGGGCUGCAUUAAAAAAGGAGUGGCCAGAAGGGAUAGGGAGGUAAUUGUCCCCUUCUACUCAGCUCUUGUGAGACUGCCUGAACCCAUCUUUGGCUUUGGCUUUGGCUCAAAGCUUGCUUUCUGAGGCAUUUCUUGUGAUAAGACUCUUACUUAUCUAGGAGAUGAGAGGUGCUGUGUGGCAGUGGGCAUCACUGUGUGGACUAUUUUACAUUUGAAAACAUUUCUUUGGAGCUGUUUGCCUUCUGAAGAGAAUGCUCAGGACUGUUUUCUGGCGGAAGAUCUGUCCUGUGACCAAAUAACUCCAGAUUGCUAUGGCAGACUGGGGGGAUGAUACCAUUGUAUCCUGUGAAGGCAAGAAAUAAGGGGGUGCCUCCCUGCUCCCUCUUGUCUGCUGGCAAGGCCCAGAAGAUGGGAACAAAAGGAGUUCCUGCUGUGAUCCAAAAGCCAGCAGCUGUCACUACAAAAGGAGCUGACUAGGCCACUUUGGACUUAUAAAUAAGCUUGUACUGACAUUGGAAAGAGUCGUUGUCAUCGUCGCUGUCAUUAUCGUCAAAUGAACAACAACCCCUGAUGACCCAUCACUACUGAAGAUCAACAUCUGAACUACGAGCAGUGCUGGAAUCCAUGGUGGUGACUAUCUCUUUUGCUUUCUACAAAGACUCCUUGCUUUUAUUUUUUAUCUUUCCUAUCGCCCAUCUUCUCUUCCCCAUCUCCCUAAAUGACUAGGAUUUGUGAUAAACUGGUUGGGUUAACAUUUGACUCUCUUUGUCUUAAUCUCCGCAUUGGGUAUACAAAUACUAAAAGAACCUCUUCUUCCUCCUUUAAAUUAUAGCUAGACAGAGGCCCCAUCUGGAGUACUGCAUCCAUGUGUGAGGCGCCCAGCACAAGAAAGACGCAGAGCUCUUGGAACAGGUCCAGAGGAGGACCACUAAGAUGAUCAGAGGGCUGGAGCACCUAUGAAGAAAAGUUGAGGGAACUGGGCUUGUUUAGCUUGGAGAAGAGAAGGCUCCAGGGAGACCUCCCUGUGGCCUUCCAGUACUUAAAGGGAGAGUAUAAACAGGAGGGGGUACAACUGUUUACAUGGGUCGAUAGUGACAUGACAAGGGCAAUAGUUUUAAACUAAUACAGGGGGAAUUUAGGUUAAAUAUUAGGAGGAAGUUUUUCACUCAGAGGGUGGUGAUGCACUGGAACAGGUUGCCCAAGGAGGUAGUGGAUGCCCCAUCUCUGGAGGCAUUCAAGGCAAGGAUAGGUGUGCCUCUGGUCUAGUCAUUGGUGACCUUGCCCAUGGCAGGGGGGAUGAAGCUAGAUGAUCUUUGAGGUCUUUUUCAAUCUAGGCCGAUCUGUGAUUCUAUGUUUUGCAGUAGAUGAGCUACUGCUGGACAAUUUCUGCAUGUAUCAUUUUUAAAAGAAUUUACACUGAUUACAUCAGAACAUUCAGUCUUUCUUGACAGUCUUUUUUCUUGUUAUUGGCAGGGCAGUAAUUACUACAUAAAAAUAUGUAUGUAGGAACAGAGAACACUUUAAGAACUUUGUUAUGAGGUAAAUACUAGGCAAAAAAUAUAAAAGGAGAAUUUGUAAUGAGCACAUCCGAUAAUACACAAAAAGUAUAUUUUCUUCUUUUUUUUUCCUCCCUCUCCUAAUGAGGUUCUGAAUAAAAUCAUUUAAAAAUGAUCCUUCCUUUUGUGUUAAGAAAGAGAGCUUCUUCUAUCGCAUGUCCAUAUCACUUGAAGUACUACUCUAGGUAUUCAAAUGAUUCCAAUCCCUUGAAAUCAGCAUGAGCAGAUAGAAGGCAAACCUGAUGAAGAGCUCGUUAGGCAAUCUCAGAAAAGAUUUUGAAGUGAUAAACUAUUUUUGCUGUUUUCACAAAUUUUCAGGUAUAAAGUCCUAGGUUCUGUUUCACAUGGAGCAGACAAAUCACCUGGGAAGCUGAUGCCCUUUGAUGAAGAGAAAGCCUCUAAGACUUUCUUUAACUCUGCAUCAAUUCAUAGGAAAGAAGUUUUGGAACCAUGGCUCAUAGAGCUUUUAACCUUUUGUGGAGACUGCCUGAUGAGGUUCUGCACAGAUGCCUUUAUGGAAUGAGAGAAGUUCUAUGAGAGAGAGAAGAACAUUUCAGCUUCUUGUGCUGCCCUGCCAGUGAGGAGACGGGGGGUGCAAAGAAGCUGAGGUGGGACAGAACCAGGACAGCUGACCCAAAAUGUCCAAAGGAAUAUCCUAUACCAUAUGACAUAGUUCUGACAAUAAAACUGGGAGACUGAGUGAGCUGUGUCGUGCUGAGCUGCCUGCCAGGGUUAAACCACAGCAGUAGUGCACCCAACAGAGGACUGGAAGAGUUUGAGAUUAUGACAGAUUUGACUGGAGUAUGGAGCGUGCUACACCAAAUGCAUAGUUGUUAUACUCUUCAGCUGCUAAUUGGUAUGCUCCCGCAGUUUUCCUGGGUCUUGCUUGCCUUACUGUAUUUUGGAGUCUACUAUCUGUUAGUGGAUGCUUUUGCUCUGUCUUCCCUCUCCACUUUCUACUUUCCACUCUCCCCUCUCCUCAGAAAACAAACAAACAAUAAUAGUAAUAAUAAUAGUAAUAGUAAUAAAACAAAACAAACAAACAAAACAAAACAAAACAAAAAAACCCGGAGGUUUUUAAUCAGUAGAUGGCAGUAAGAGCUAGCAAGAAGCCUGAAAGGGAGUCUCACAGACCUACACAUUAAUCAUACAUAUAGCAAAUUCCACAAAGUACAAGCCGACAAAGACCCUGCUUUACCACAAUCAAUCUUUAUUCACCACUAGAUUACAGUGGUUAGAUAUAUUUGAUUGCCACAGGUCCAAGAAAAAGCUUAUAAAUAACUAUAAAUGUAAUCGGCUUAAAUUUUUGCCAUUGUAUUUUUUGGUUUUAUUUUUGUUGUAGGCUGAGAUUGGGGUGCAAUCUGUUUAUCCUUAGAUUUGUUGUAUGACCACCCAGUCCAUCUGUCACCUUGACUUUGAAGCUGUAAUUUUAAUGUUUGGCUCUGUAAAUGUUUAAAGCAUCAUUACAAAUUUACAAAGGGAAAGAUACUGCUAACGGUGCAGCUGAAAUAAGACUGUCUCAGCUCACUUGUCUUUACUCCAAGACUUUCACUGCUGUGUGCCUGUGUUUUAAGCUGAAAUGAUAUCACAACAGUGAAGUAAUGCUGCAUUGUACUGCAGGAUCCAUUUUGGACAGCUCUAUUCUCUAGCCUGCAUUGCUUUUUCAAAAAGUCACAAUGUACAAUGGAUGUACACUUUAUUCACUUGUGAAAGGUAUGAAUUCAUGUAUUUUUCUAACAUACACUCAGCAAAAAAAGCAGUGUAAGUAUACUUGAAAAAAAAAAAAAAAGAAAAUAGAAUAAUAAUGUUGAUUUACUUUCCAGCUCACUAUCUAUAUAUAGUUAGAAAUGUAUAUUUAAUUUUCUGUAAAUUUGCAAGCUUUUUAACUGUGUAAUAUAUAUAAAAUUUGAAAUCCACACUGUAUUUCUCUGUUUGACUCUAUUUGUUUAAGCUAUGUAUUUGUGUACCAAUCAGACCUAUGAUAGUUUUAUUUAACUUCACAGUCCUUUUUCUGUGAAAGAAAAUUGUCUUUUUCUGCUUCCCAUUCAGUAGUACAGAUGUACAAGAAUUUUGUAACAAUCUUAAAUUUUCUUGCUUAAUAAAAAUAUUUUCACAGUAUAACACUGAAAUAACAUCAUGUAAGAUUGAAAGAAAAAAGAGAAACACAAAAUUAAAGAGAAGUUUGUGGCCUUUAGUUAUAAAUAUAGAGGAGUUUAUGGAGGCCACAAUGAAACAAUCAGCUCUGAAAGAAGUUUGAGACAAGAAAGCAUUAUUUCCAUAGGAGGUGAGUAGGGUCAGGGCACUGGUUCUGAAAAGCACCAUAAACUUUUGAAAGAUAUAAUUAAUGAUCGAAACAGGCAGACAGAUUAAGAGGUGCAUAUAUGUGUGCAUAGAUAUGUACAUUAUAUAUAAAUAUAAAUGAUAUAGUUACAGAUAUUGAUAGCAUAAUUAAUUUCUAGUUGGUCAAUAUUAGGAACCGCUAUAUAGCAUAGUAGUUGCAUUUGCUGUGGGGUGCUGGCAUUAAGAAAUUUGUAUACCAUGGUUAAACAUAUAUACAGCAACGAAUUCAACUCAGUAAGUGUUCCCUCUCCCCCUACAAAGUACACUGAUGUUUUAUAUUCUGUUGAAAUCAAUUGAAGUGUAUCACAUUGGCAUCCAAAGAAAACAACAGUUGGUGAUUUCAGAUUUCCCAGGUGAGGACUGCAAUCAGUUGAUCAAACUGCAAUUGCUUUUUACUCUGGGGUAAAUACAAAUAUGCAUGGAUUGUUCUUUGUGGUCAUGCUUCAGUGGUAUCCAGCUAGCUUCUGACAUCACCAGGUCUCCUUUACAGGCAGAUAAUUUUAUCCUUUUGCCAAGGACAGCCACUUUAGUCACAGCAUUUUGUAUCUGCCUUGGCUGCAGGAGAGUCAUCUCUUUUAACACAUUCAGAAACGAAUAUAUUUUACCAACAAAUUCUCCAUUCUAACAUUUUUGCAUCAUUUGUGAUUUUUUAUUCUUUUAUGUGGCCCUUUUACAUUAAAGCUAAACCAGAGCAUUCCUUCAUAAAUAAAUAAAUAAAUAAAUCUAGCUGAUUGAGUGCCAAAGACUGCACAAUAGACUUCACUAAGAGCUGAGAUUUAUUCAUUGCAAGCAUAAAGCAUUUGAGUACUCUGCAAUUUAAUCUUUUUUUUUUUUUUUUUUUUUUUUUUCACUUUCAUCAAGCAAUUGGUAGGCUGUAGAGAGUUCUAGCAAUUUUUUUGAUUAAUUCAGUACAAUAUUACCUUUGGUUCUCUAUCAGCAUGAAGGUUAUAAAAACAAUAGCAUUUAAGAUAUAGAAAAUAUCUCAAAAAGGUGACAAUAAUACUAAAUAUGUAUUCUAUUUUUUGACAAAAAUGUCGAUGCAGGACUGAAAAGGAGUAAUAAAAUACCACUGUGAUAUUAACACUUUGUGGGAGGACACUGUCAUCUUUGUAAUUUAAUGCUUUGUUUGUUUUUCAUAGUUUUUACACUGGCAGAAUAUCCAGAGCCCAGUAUAAAUUUUUAAAAAGUCAGCAAUUCAUUAAUACUUCUCUUUAUGUCAUGUUCACAGAUUGAAUCUGAUUGGAAUUUCAAAGAAGGUCAGAGUGAACUUUUCAAGUUUUAUGUGAAUAAAAACACCCAACAGGAUCAAAACCUAUUCCGCUUUAUUCAUUCAGAAUAUAAUCAAAUAAAUAUGGGCUUAACAGCUUCUUUCUUUAACCCCAAAUUCGAAAGGCUUAUGUGAGUUCUUCCAUUACCUUGCUAUUGUGGAAAUACUGAGAAGCAACUUCCUCUCCAUUUCAAGUUUCAUACUGGAAUUAAUGCACUAAUAUCUGUCUUGGGAAACAGGUAUUUGUAAUGUUAAUUCAGUCCUCAUCAGCAUCAUAACUUUAGAGCUAAUGACAAAAUGAUGUAACAAGAUAAUGGAGUCUGAAAGUGAACAAUAGAAAUUAUGUUCCACUCCCCAAUCCAGACACAUUUUUUAAAUAUUAGAGAUGUGGAACAAAGGUAAUGAGAAUCUGACAAGUCACUCACUAUUUGACAGUAAGGAGAAAUACAGAGAAAAAGAGAGUGUUGAAGACUCAAAAAGUGCAGUGGGAGGAAACACAGCACCAACUGUACAGAAGCAAUUUUCAUGUCACAGUCUGUAUUAAGGAAUUAAUGUCAGUUUUUCUCCUCACUUCAAAAUAUUGAUAUUUAAAACAAUCAAAACGGUUUUAUUCAAAAAGUUCCAGUAGCAGCAGUAUUAAAUUAUAGAAUUAUUUUAUUAAAUUAAACAGAAAAAUACUGAGGUUUUAUUAGCUGUGUAGAGAUGACAGGUAACCCCUUUUCUUCAACAGACUGGUGUAAGAGGGUGAUCUUAUAUUUAUUGACUUGCCACACUCUCGUGUGAUCUGUCUUUUGUACAUGUAGCUAUCUGCCAAUCAGAAGGCAGAUAGUGGAAAAUACCUUUCUCCAUCUCUUUGCCUGUGUACUCAUCCUCAUCCACAAAAUAUUUCCUUCACUUCAACAGUGUAAGUCCAUUUAAAAGUAUACAGAAACUACCAUGACUUACUAGAUUAUUACAAGAUUUAGAGGAAUAAAGUUAUGUUCUUUGAGACUAAUUAUUUUUGCUUCUGGCUUUCAUUGUAUUCUGUACAUCAACAGGCUUCCUGUUUGAAAAACAGUUCACUUUUAAAUGGCUUCAUGCUGUUAUCCAAGAUAUUAUAAAUUUGGUAUAGGACAUAAGUGGAUUAUGAGUGGAAAAUGGACUAAAUUCAAAGGGUCAGAAGUCCAAAGUCCAGCUGGUGGUUAGCUACUAGUGGUACCUCUCAGAAUUCAUAGGGCCACUGCCAUUAAACAGUGUUAUUAACAGCUUGAGUUAUGAGGUAGCAUGCACACUCAAUGAACUUACUGAAAAAUAUCAAGCUAGGAGAAGGUGAUGAUGCACUGGGAGGACAGGGCUGCUAACCAGGAGAAAUGAACUGACAGAAAAGUCCUGAAAAUCAAAUGUAAAGGCAAAGUCCUGCACAAGGCAAGGAAAAAUCCCAUGUGCCAGGGUAGACUGAGGAUUGACUAGCUGGAAAGCAGCUUUCCUGAAGAACUUCUGGGGUCAACAAAAUGGAAUGUGCCUUCACAAUAAAGAAGGCCAACUAUGCUUUAACAAGUAGCAAAGCAGUAUCUAG